UACGGAGGUCUCAAGCGUUGUUCGGAUUCAUUGGGCGUAAAGGGUGUGUAGGUGGCGCGCUAAGUCGGGUGUGAAAUUUCGGAGCUUAACUCCGGAACUGCAUUCGAUACUGGCGGGCUUGAGGACUGGAGAGGAGAGUGGAAUUCAUGGUGUAGCAGUGAAAUGCGUAGAGAUCAUGAGGAAGACCAGUGGCGAAGGCGGGUCUCUGGACAGUUCCUGACACUGAGACACGAAGGCCAGGGGAGCAAACGGG
RNAcentral lists this ribosomal RNA (253 nucleotides) under uncultured bacterium. Its description in RNAcentral is "partial 16S ribosomal RNA". It matches the Rfam family "Bacterial small subunit ribosomal RNA", at positions 524 to 776 of the family's 1533-position model. The record is from RNAcentral.